This 371-nucleotide ribosomal RNA is filed under the name uncultured organism. RNAcentral's name for it is "bacterial SSU rRNA". It matches the Rfam family "Bacterial small subunit ribosomal RNA", at positions 526 to 896 of the family's 1533-position model. The record is from RNAcentral.
CGUAGGGUGCGAGCGUUAAUCGGAAUUACUGGGCGUAAAGCGUGCGCAGGCGGUUUUGUAAGACAGGCGUGAAAUCCCCGGGCUUAACCUGGGAACUGCGUUUGUGUCUGCAAGGCUAGAGUACGGCAGAGGGGGUGGAAUUCCACGUGUAGCAGUGAAAUGCGUAGAGAUGUGGAGGAACACCAAUGGCGAAGGCAGCCCCCUGGGUCGAUACUGACGCUCAUGCACGAAAGCGUGGGUAGCAAACAGGAUUAGAUACCCUGGUAGUCCACGCCCUAAACGAUGUCAACUAGGUGUUGGGUGGGUAAAACCAUUUAGUACCGUAGCUAACGCGAGAAGUUGACCGCCUGGGGAGUACGGCCGCAAGGUUA